This is a long non-coding RNA of Cervus elaphus (red deer), 1369 nucleotides long. RefSeq lists it as uncharacterized. The record is from RefSeq and is a predicted model, not a curated record. The transcript has 4 exons. Lineage: Eukaryota; Metazoa; Chordata; Mammalia; Artiodactyla; Cervidae.
GGUUACUGAGGUGUGUAUGAGCUAAGGCUUCUUUAUAAAGUGCCAAAUUGAAUGUAGUCACUCCAGAACUUCUGGGAACUUUCCUGAUGGGUCCAGGACUCUACACAGAUCCAGUAUCAGAGAGCCCAGUUCUGCAGCCAGAGUUCAACUUUUCAGAGGACGUGUGUGUGCCACCCAUGGUAUGUCAGCUUGUUGACAAAGGACACAGGAAAUAAAAUACUUGUGAGGUCCCUUUAGACAGCCUCGGUUAACCAGCUUCUUGCCUCAAGAUGAAAGCAAAAUCCAUCAGUGCUUGCUGCGUCAUCUGGAAGAGGUUGAAAAACCCAGCCUCUGAUGGUUUACUCAUGGUGACAAAAAUGGGAUUAAUUAAAUGUCCCUGGUACUUGGCUCCUGCCUCCCUCUCCAGCCCAGUCUCCCUCCGGGACAUCGCUUCCAUCAUUUACCCCAGGCUACAAGAUAGAGAUUGCCAUUCAGCUUCUCCACUCUAUUUUUCUUUAUCCCACCAUUGUCUCAAAUUUUCUUUACUUCUACAUUCUUUCCUGCUUUAAGACACUUCUCUUUGUCCAUAACCUUAUAAUUUUAUGAUUGACAGAUAAAGAUAACUGAUUUUUCAUGAUUUAUAGUGCAGUGAUUUUCACUGCAACUGAGAAACUGGUUUGUGGCCAGUUCAUCAGAACACUUCAUUUGGAUUGGAAGAAUUCUUAUGGGGAGAGACUGGCAUAAUAUUCUAGCAGAGAAGCCCACUCCAAAAUGUACGGUUAAUGACUCUUGCAGUAGAAUUAGUUUAUGUAAGUUUAUUUGCUCUAAAUCAAUACCUGACCAUGACCAUUUCAACAGAUGGUAUGAAUAAAAUUUGCCUCAGACAUGAAAACCUCAUCUCAAAAACAAAAAAGGAGAAAGACCACAAAUUUUUUCCUUGAUUGCUUACACAAAUGUUACUCAAAACAAACAAAAGAAGGAAUAUAUCUUAAUCGGUCUCUGAUUUAGCCCUGUACAAUGAUUACUGAACACUGGUAAAGUCUGUAUACACCGGAAGCAUGAGAUUAUCUCCCUGCUUUACACAAGCUGAUCUUUCUCCAAUCAUAGGGGACAGUAUUCAAAUUGCCUGAUGAUAUUUCAGGUCACUCUGCCUUCAACACACAGUGACUUCUGCCUAAAGUUCCUUCUCUGUUUCUUCAUCUUAUUAGAUUCAACUCAUCUUUCAAGACAUGGGUAUAAUAGCACCUCCUUAAGAAAGCAUUCUCUGUCCAUCCUCGAUCAUUACUGCACCCCACUCUGAGCUCAGACAGCAUUCUGCAUGAGUAUUUAUCAUAGGAAUAGUGUGCUGUUAUAAUUUUGAUUUAUUGCUUCUCUUUUGGACCACAGGCUA